This 163-nucleotide ribosomal RNA is filed under the name Pyrus ussuriensis (Ussurian pear). Its description in RNAcentral is "5.8S ribosomal RNA". It matches the Rfam family "5.8S ribosomal RNA". Rfam says of the family: 5.8S ribosomal RNA (5.8S rRNA) is a component of the large subunit of the eukaryotic ribosome. It is transcribed by RNA polymerase I as part of the 45S precursor that also contains 18S and 28S rRNA. Functionally, it is thought that 5.8S rRNA may be involved in ribosome translocation. Lineage: Eukaryota; Viridiplantae; Streptophyta; Magnoliopsida; Rosales; Rosaceae. The record is from RNAcentral.
AAAAUGACUCUCGGCAACGGAUGUCUCGGCUCUCGCAUCGAUGAAGAACGUAGCGAAAUGCGAUACUUGGUGUGAAUUGCAGAAUCCCGUGAACCAUCGAGUCUUUGAACGCAAGUUGCGCCCGAAGCCUUUAGGCCGAGGGCACGCCUGCCUGGGCGUCACA